UUUUAGCCCUGAUGGCAGUGAAAAUCCUCCCGCUUUUUAGCGGGAGAUUGCAACGCACAGCAGGAAUAGCU
Flavobacterium fryxellicola is the source of this 71-nucleotide non-coding RNA. The record is from Rfam. Lineage: Bacteria; Pseudomonadati; Bacteroidota; Flavobacteriia; Flavobacteriales; Flavobacteriaceae.